UAAGCCUACGGGAACGCAGCAGUGAGGAAUAUUGGUCAAUGGGCGGAAGCCUGAACCAGCCAAGUCGCGUGAGGGAAUAAGGCCCUACGAGUCGUAAACCUCUUUUGCCGGGGAGCAAGGGCGGGGACGUGUCCCGGCCCGGAGAGUACCCGGAGAAAAAGCAUCGGCUAACUCCGUGCCAGCAGCCGCGGUAAUACGGAGGAUGCGAGCGUUAUCCGGAUUUAUUGGGUUU
RNAcentral lists this ribosomal RNA (232 nucleotides) under uncultured bacterium. RNAcentral's name for it is "partial 16S ribosomal RNA". It matches the Rfam family "Bacterial small subunit ribosomal RNA", at positions 333 to 561 of the family's 1533-position model. The record is from RNAcentral.